RNAcentral lists this ribosomal RNA (403 nucleotides) under uncultured bacterium. RNAcentral's name for it is "bacterial SSU rRNA". It matches the Rfam family "Bacterial small subunit ribosomal RNA", at positions 355 to 774 of the family's 1533-position model. The record is from RNAcentral.
UAGGGAAUAUUGCAAAAUGGGCGAAAGCCCGAUGCAGCAACGCCGCGUGGGCGAUGAAGGCCUUCGGGUCGUAAAGCCCUUUUUGAGGGGAUGAGGAAGGACAGUACCCUCAGAAUAAGCCUCGGCUAACUACGUGCCAGCAGCCGCGGUAAAACGUAGGAGGCGAGCGUUAUCCGGAUUUACUGGGCGUAAAGCGCGUGCAGGCGGAUUGGAGAGUUGGAUGUGAAAGCUCCCGGCUUAACUGGGAGAGGUCGUUCAAUACUUCCAGUCUUGAGUGCAGUAGAGGGUAGUGGAAUUCCCGGUGUAGUGGUGAAAUGCGUAGAUAUCCGGAGGAACACCAGUGGCGAAAGCGGCUUCCUGGACUGUAACUGACGCUCAGACGCGAAAGCUAGGGUAGCAAACG